UUAAGCGACUAAGCGUACACGGUGGAUGCCCUGGCAGUCAGAGGCGAUGAAGGACGUGCUAAUCUGCGAUAAGCGUCGGUAAGGUGAUAUGAACCGUUAUAACCGGCGAUUUCCGAAUGGGGAAACCCAGUGUGAUUCGUCACACUAUCAUUAACUGAAUCCAUAGGUUAAUGAGGCGAACCGGGGGAACUGAAACAUCUAAGUACCCCGAGGAAAAGAAAUCAACCGAGAUUCCCCCAGUAGCGGCGAGCGAACGGGGAGCAGCCCAGAGCCUGAAUCAGUGUGUGUGUUAGUGGAAGCGUCUGGAAAGGCGCGCGAUACAGGGUGACAGCCCCGUACACAAAAAUGCACAUGCUGUGAGCUCGAUGAGUAGGGCGGGACACGUGGUAUCCUGUCUGAAUAUGGGGGGACCAUCCUCCAAGGCUAAAUACUCCUGACUGACCGAUAGUGAACCAGUACCGUGAGGGAAAGGCGAAAAGAACCCCGGCGAGGGGAGUGAAAAAGAACCUGAAACCGUGUACGUACAAGCAGUGGGAGCCUCUUAAUGGGGUGACUGCGUACCUUUUGUAUAAUGGGUCAGCGACUUAUAUUCUGUAGCAAGGUUAACCGAAUAGGGGAGCCGAAGGGAAACCGAGUCUUAACUGGGCGUUAAGUUGCAGGGUAUAGACCCGAAACCCGGUGAUCUAGCCAUGGGCAGGUUGAAGGUUGGGUAACACUAACUGGAGGACCGAACCGACUAAUGUUGAAAAAUUAGCGGAUGACUUGUGGCUGGGGGUGAAAGGCCAAUCAAACCGGGAGAUAGCUGGUUCUCCCCGAAAGCUAUUUAGGUAGCGCCUCGUGAAUUCAUCUCCGGGGGUAGAGCACUGUUUCGGCAAGGGGGUCAUCCCGACUUACCAACCCGAUGCAAACUGCGAAUACCGGAGAAUGUUAUCACGGGAGACACACGGCGGGUGCUAACGUCCGUCGUGAAGAGGGAAACAACCCAGACCGCCAGCUAAGGUCCCAAAGUCAUGGUUAAGUGGGAAACGAUGUGGGAAGGCCCAGACAGCCAGGAUGUUGGCUUAGAAGCAGCCAUCAUUUAAAGAAAGCGUAAUAGCUCACUGGUCGAGUCGGCCUGCGCGGAAGAUGUAACGGGGCUAAACCAUGCACCGAAGCUGCGGCAGCGACGCUUAUGCGUUGUUGGGUAGGGGAGCGUUCUGUAAGCCUGCGAAGGUGUACUGUGAGGUAUGCUGGAGGUAUCAGAAGUGCGAAUGCUGACAUAAGUAACGAUAAAGCGGGUGAAAAGCCCGCUCGCCGGAAGACCAAGGGUUCCUGUCCAACGUUAAUCGGGGCAGGGUGAGUCGACCCCUAAGGCGAGGCCGAAAGGCGUAGUCGAUGGGAAACAGGUUAAUAUUCCUGUACUUGGUGUUACUGCGAAGGGGGGACGGAGAAGGCUAUGUUGGCCGGGCGACGGUUGUCCCGGUUUAAGCGUGUAGGCUGGUUUUCCAGGCAAAUCCGGAAAAUCAAGGCUGAGGCGUGAUGACGAGGCACUACGGUGCUGAAGCAACAAAUGCCCUGCUUCCAGGAAAAGCCUCUAAGCAUCAGGUAACAUCAAAUCGUACCCCAAACCGACACAGGUGGUCAGGUAGAGAAUACCAAGGCGCUUGAGAGAACUCGGGUGAAGGAACUAGGCAAAAUGGUGCCGUAACUUCGGGAGAAGGCACGCUGAUAUGUAGGUGAAGUCCCUUGCGGAUGGAGCUGAAAUCAGUCGAAGAUACCAGCUGGCUGCAACUGUUUAUUAAAAACACAGCACUGUGCAAACACGAAAGUGGACGUAUACGGUGUGACGCCUGCCCGGUGCCGGAAGGUUAAUUGAUGGGGUUAGCGGUAACGCGAAGCUCUUGAUCGAAGCCCCGGUAAACGGCGGCCGUAACUAUAACGGUCCUAAGGUAGCGAAAUUCCUUGUCGGGUAAGUUCCGACCUGCACGAAUGGCGUAAUGAUGGCCAGGCUGUCUCCACCCGAGACUCAGUGAAAUUGAACUCGCUGUGAAGAUGCAGUGUACCCGCGGCAAGACGGAAAGACCCCGUGAACCUUUACUAUAGCUUGACACUGAACAUUGAGCCUUGAUGUGUAGGAUAGGUGGGAGGCUUUGAAGUGUGGACGCCAGUCUGCAUGGAGCCGACCUUGAAAUACCACCCUUUAAUGUUUGAUGUUCUAACGUUGGCCCCUAAUCGGGGUUGCGGACAGUGUCUGGUGGGUAGUUUGACUGGGGCGGUCUCCUCCUAAAGAGUAACGGAGGAGCACGAAGGUUGGCUAAUCCUGGUCGGACAUCAGGAGGUUAGUGCAAUGGCAUAAGCCAGCUUGACUGCGAGCGUGACGGCGCGAGCAGGUGCGAAAGCAGGUCAUAGUGAUCCGGUGGUUCUGAAUGGAAGGGCCAUCGCUCAACGGAUAAAAGGUACUCCGGGGAUAACAGGCUGAUACCGCCCAAGAGUUCAUAUCGACGGCGGUGUUUGGCACCUCGAUGUCGGCUCAUCACAUCCUGGGGCUGAAGUAGGUCCCAAGGGUAUGGCUGUUCGCCAUUUAAAGUGGUACGCGAGCUGGGUUUAGAACGUCGUGAGACAGUUCGGUCCCUAUCUGCCGUGGGCGCUGGAGAACUGAGGGGGGCUGCUCCUAGUACGAGAGGACCGGAGUGGACGCAUCACUGGUGUUCGGGUUGUCAUGCCAAUGGCACUGCCCGGUAGCUAAAUGCGGAAGAGAUAAGUGCUGAAAGCAUCUAAGCACGAAACUUGCCCCGAGAUGAGUUCUCCCUGACUCCCUGAGAGUCCUGAAGGAACGUUGAAGACGACGACGUUGAUAGGCCGGGUGUGUAAGCGCAGCGAUGCGUUGAGCUAACCGGUACUAAUGAACCGUGAGGCUUAACCUU
This 2903-nucleotide ribosomal RNA is filed under the name Escherichia coli. Its description in RNAcentral is "bacterial LSU rRNA". It matches the Rfam family "Bacterial large subunit ribosomal RNA". Lineage: Bacteria; Pseudomonadati; Pseudomonadota; Gammaproteobacteria; Enterobacterales; Enterobacteriaceae. The record is from RNAcentral.